GCUGUAGUCCCAGCUACUUUGGAGGCUAAGGUAGAAGAAUCACUUGAGCCCAGGAGUUUGGGCUAUAUAUAGUGCGUUAUGCCGAUGGGUGUCUGCACUAAGCUCUGCAUCAAUAUGGUGACCUCUGGGGAGUUGGGGACCACCAGGUUGUUUAAGGAGGGAUGAACCAGCCCAGGAUCAACAUGGAGGUCAAAACUCCUAUGCUGAUCAGCAGCGGGAUCACACCUAUGAAUAGCCGCUGCAUUCCAGCCUGGGCAACACAGUGACACCCUGUCUCU
RNAcentral lists this signal recognition particle RNA (278 nucleotides) under Microcebus murinus (gray mouse lemur). RNAcentral's name for it is "Metazoan signal recognition particle RNA (ENSMICG00000026920.2)". It matches the Rfam family "Metazoan signal recognition particle RNA". From Rfam's summary of the family: The signal recognition particle (SRP) is a universally conserved ribonucleoprotein. It is involved in the co-translational targeting of proteins to membranes. The record is from RNAcentral. Lineage: Eukaryota; Metazoa; Chordata; Mammalia; Primates; Cheirogaleidae.